CUAGACUGAGGCUCCUUGAGGU
This 22-nucleotide non-coding RNA is filed under the name Mus musculus (house mouse). The record is from RNAcentral. Lineage: Eukaryota; Metazoa; Chordata; Mammalia; Rodentia; Muridae.